UACGACUACAUAUCAGGCAUAUCAAUAAGCGGAGGAAAAGAAACUAACUAGGAUUCCCUUAGUAACGGCGAGUGAAGCGGGAAGAGCUCAAAUUUGAAAUCUUCAAGGUUCUACCUUGACGAAUUGUAGUUUAAAGAAGUGUUUUCUGUUGGAGUUUUGGUAAAAGUUCUUUGGAAUAGGACAUCAUAGAGGGUGAGAAUCCCGUAUUUGACCAUUUCUUCCAGCUGUGUGAUACACUUUCAAAGAGUCGGAUUGUUUGGGAAUGCAGUCCAAAAUGGGUGGUAAAUUUCAUCUAAAGCUAAAUAUUGGCGAGAGACCGAUAGCGAACAAGUACCGUGAGGGAAAGAUGAAAAGAACUUUGAAAAGAGAGUUAAACAGUACGCGAAAUUGUCAAAAGGGAAGCGUUUGACACCAGUGUUGUUUUCUCGAAAAUCAAUUAAAAAUGAGCCUGGAUUUUGUGUUGUAUUGACUUUAUCAGCUUUCUGCACUUUUUUCUUGUCUUUUUUAAUGCACUUUUCGUUUAACAAGUCAACAUCAAUUUCUUUUGUUGUAAAAGGGUCAUUGGAAGGUGGCUUUCACUUCGGUGAAAGUGUUUAUAGCCUUUGACUUCUGCAAUCGGAGAGAUUGAGGUCUGCAGCGUAGAUCCUUCGGGGUUAGAUACAUUUGUGCUAAGUUAUAGUUCUUCAUAGACAACAUGUUGACUAUGAUUAAUCAUGUAGCUUACUCGCUUAUGCUAUUUUACCUACGCUUAGGAUGUUGAAUCUGUGCGAGACUAC
RNAcentral lists this ribosomal RNA (776 nucleotides) under uncultured Neocallimastigales. RNAcentral's name for it is "partial large subunit ribosomal RNA". It matches the Rfam family "Eukaryotic large subunit ribosomal RNA", at positions 24 to 644 of the family's 3401-position model. Lineage: Eukaryota; Fungi; Neocallimastigomycota; Neocallimastigomycetes; Neocallimastigales. The record is from RNAcentral.